CCCCUCCUUGAGCUACCACCUUACCGUGGUGGAGGGGUUUGUGUGUCCCAAUGAUCCCAGGAGCUAUGUUGUCAGGGCUUUAUGCCUCUGAAAGGUCAACCAAGGCAAACAGGUCCUGGGGGAGGGACCAGACUAAGAGUAGCUCAUCCAGACAGAGGUGCCAGGCAAAAAAAUAGGGAAAAAAAAACUGAAGAAAACAAACUAAAGAAAACAAAAAAGACAAAACAAUAGUAUUUCUGAGAAUAAACAACUUUAAAAAAACUUAAAAAAAAACUAAAAAAAAGACUUAAAACAAGAAGAAAAAAAACUAAAGAAAACUACAAAAAGAAGAAAAAGAAUGGUAUUUCUAAAAAAACUUGAAAAAACACUAAAAAAAUUUAAAAAGGCAGAAAAAACUAAAUAAUAGUAAAAAAAGGAGAAAGAAUAGUAUAACCAAAAUAAAAAAACAGAAAGAAAAGUAUUACUUUAAAAAACACUAAAUAUAUAUAUAUAAAUAUAUAUAUAUAUAUAUAUAUAUAUAUAUAACAAAAAACUAAAAAAACAAAAAAAAACUUAAAACAGGCAGAAAAAAAUAAAGAAAACUAAAAAAGAGAAAGAAUAGUAUAAACAAAAUAAAAAACAGAAAGAAAAGUUUAUCUAAAAAAAAUACUUUAAAUAUAUAUAACAAAACAAUUAAAAUAAACUUUGAACAGGCAGAAAAACAACUAAAGAAAACUAAAAAAAGAGAUAGAAUAGUAUAAACAAAAUAAAAAAAUCAGAACGAAAAGUACAUCUGAAAAAAACACUUUAAAUAUAAAUAUAUAACAAAAAAAACUUAAAACAGGCAGAAAAAACUAAAGAAAACUAAAAAAAGAGAAAGAAUAGUAUAAACAAAAUAAAAAAUAGAAAGAAAAGUAUUUCUGAAAAAAAAAAUCUAAAUAUAUAAAUAACAAAAAAAAACUUAAAACAGGCAGAAAAAAAUAAAGAAAACUAAAAAAGGAGAAAUAAUAGUAUAAACAAAAUAAAAAAAACAGAAAGAAAAGUUUAUCUAUAAAAAACUUUAAAUAUAUAUAUAUAACAAAAAACUAAAAUAAACGUUAUACAGGCAGAAAAACAACUAAAGAAAACUAAAAAAAGAGAAAGAAUAGUAUGAACAAAAUAAAAAAAUCAAAAAGAAAAGUUUAUCUAAAAAAAACUUUAAAUAUAUAUAUAACAAAAAACUAAAAUAAACUUUAAACAGGCAGAAAAACAACUAAAGAAAACAAAAAGAAGAGAAAGAAUAGUAUAAACAAAAUUAAAAAAUCAAAAAGAAAAGUAUAUCUAAACAACACUUUAAAUAUAUAUAUAACAAAAAACAAAAAAAAACUUAAAACAGGCAGAAAAAAAACUAAAGAAAACUAGAAAAAAGAAGUAAAAGAAUAGUAUUUGUAAAAAAAAAGACUAAAAAAAAGAAACAUAACAGUAUUUCUGAAAAAAAAACUUAAAACAGGCAGAAAAAUAAAAAAUAUAUAUAGGAAACUAAAAACAAAGAAAAGUAUUUUUGAAAAAAAAAAAAAAACCCACACUAAACACUAAACCGGGUGUUUUGCACAGAAAAAAAAAACCCUUGCGGUUUUUCCCUCUCAUGUGAGGGUUUUUUCCCCUCCUUGAGCUACCACCUUAUCAUGGUGGAGGGGUUUGUGUGUCCCAAUGAUCCCAGGAGCUAUGUUGUCAGGGCUUUAUGCCUCUGAAAGGUCACCCAAGGCAAACAGGUCCUGGGGGAGAGACCAGACUAAGAGUAGCUCAUCCAGACAGAGGUGCCAGGCAAGAAAAAUAGGAAAAAAGAAAAACUGAAGAAAACAAACUAAAGAAAACAAAAAGACAAAAGAAUAGUAUUUCUGAAAAUAAACAACUUUAAAAAAUA
RNAcentral lists this long non-coding RNA (1882 nucleotides) under Xyrichtys novacula (pearly razorfish). Lineage: Eukaryota; Metazoa; Chordata; Actinopteri; Labriformes; Labridae. The record is from RNAcentral.